CCUACGGGAGGCAGCAGUGAGGAAUUUUCCGCAAUGGGCGAAAGCCUGACGGAGCAAUACCGCGUGGAGGAUGAAGGCCCGUGGGUCGUAAACUUCUUUUCUCAGAAAAGAAUUACUGACGGUAUCUGAGGAAUAAGCAUCGGCUAACUCUGUGCCAGCAGCCGCGGUAAU
Molecule: ribosomal RNA, 171 nt
Filed under: uncultured bacterium
Lineage: Bacteria
Description: partial 16S rRNA
Rfam family: Bacterial small subunit ribosomal RNA
Source: RNAcentral